CCUACGGGUGGCAGCAGUGAGGAAUAUUGGUCAAUGGACGAGAGUCUGAACCAGCCAAGUAGCGUGAAGGAUGACUGCCCUAUGGGUUGUAAACUUCUUUUAUAUGGGAAUAAAACGUUCCACGUGUGGGAUUUUGUAUGUACCAUAUGAAUAAGGAUCGGCUAACUCCGUUCCAGCAGCCGCGGUAAUACGGAGGAUCCGAGCGUUAUCCGGAUUUAUUGGGUUUAAAGGGCGCGUAGGUGGAGUGUUAAGUCAGUUGUGAAAGUUUGCGGCUCAACCGUAAAAUUGCAGUUGAAACUGGCAGUCUUGAGUACAGUAGAGGUGGGCGGAAUUCGUGGUGUAGCGGUGAAAUGCUUAGAUAUCACGAAGAACUCCGAUUGCGAAGGCAGUUCACUGGACUUCAACUGACGCUGAGGCUCGAAAGUGUGGGUAUCAAACAGGAUUAGAUACCCUGGUAGUC
RNAcentral lists this ribosomal RNA (460 nucleotides) under uncultured bacterium. RNAcentral's name for it is "partial 16S ribosomal RNA". It matches the Rfam family "Bacterial small subunit ribosomal RNA", at positions 338 to 795 of the family's 1533-position model. The record is from RNAcentral.